Molecule: transfer RNA, 73 nt
Filed under: Bos taurus (domestic cattle)
Lineage: Eukaryota; Metazoa; Chordata; Mammalia; Artiodactyla; Bovidae
Also listed under: 2 other names
Rfam family: tRNA
About the family: Transfer RNA (tRNA) molecules are approximately 80 nucleotides in length. Their secondary structure includes four short double-helical elements and three loops (D, anti-codon, and T loops).
Source: Rfam by way of RNAcentral
UCCCUGGUGGUUCAGUGGCUAAGGGUUUGCACUCCCAAUGCAGAGGGCCCGGGUUCAAUCCCUGGUCAAGGAA